Molecule: ribosomal RNA, 974 nt
Filed under: uncultured eukaryote
Lineage: Eukaryota
Description: SSU rRNA
Rfam family: Eukaryotic small subunit ribosomal RNA
Source: RNAcentral
AUUGAUAUCGAUUUACAUGGAUAACCGUGGUAAUUCUAGAGCUAAUACAUGCUGGUAGGCCCGACUUUUGCGGAAGGGCGGUAUUUAUUAGAUAACAAGCCAAUAUUCCUCUGGUCUAUUGUGGUGACUCAUAAUAACUGAUCGAAUCGCAAGGCCUUUGGCCGCGAUAAGUCAUUCAAGUUUCUGCCCCAUCAGCUUUCGAUGGUAGUGUAUUGGACUACCAUGGCGUUUACGGGUAACGGAGGAUUAGGGUUCGAUUCCGGAGAGGGAGCCUGAGAAACGGCUACCACAUCUAAGGAAGGCAGCAGGCGCGUAAAUUACCCAAUCCUGACUCAGGGAGGUAGUGACAAGAAAUAACGGACCGAGGCCUUCGGGCUUCGGGAUUGGAAUGAGCCGAAUUUACACCCCUUAGCGAAGAUCGAUUGGAGGGCAAGUCUGGUGCCAGCAGCCGCGGUAAUUCCAGCUCCAAUAGCGUAUAUUAAAGUUGUUGCAGUUAAAAAGCUCGUAGUUGGAUUUCUGGGAGGGUGCCGAUGUCCACUUAACGUGUGCGCAGCGGCGCCCUCUCAUCCUUCUGUUAGCGUCUCUUGGCAUUCAUUUGCUGGUGGCGGGCUCAGAUAUUUUACCUUGAGAAAAUUAGAGUGUUUCAGGCAGGCUAGGCCGGAAUACAUUAGCAUGGAAUAAUGGAAUAGGACUACGGUCUCUUUGUUGGUUUGAGGGACUGCAGUAAUGAUUAAUAGGGAUAGUUGGGGGCAUUAGUACUUAACUGUCAGAGGUGGAAUUCUCAGAUUUGUUAAAGACUGACUUAUGCGAAAGCAUUUGCCAAGGAUGUUUUCAUUAAUCAAGAACGAAAGUUAGGGGAUCAAAGACGAUCAGAUACCGUCCUAGUCUUAACCAUAAACUAUGCCGACUCGGGAUUGGGGGCGUGUUCUAUCCGCCUUCAGCACCGUAUGAGAAAUCAAAGUCUUUGGGUUCUG